GUUGUUGCAGUUAAAAAGCUCGUAGUUGAAUUUCGGGGUUAGUAUGUUGGUCAUGCCUCUGGUAUGUACUGAUCUCACUGAUUCCUCCUUCCUUAUGAACCGUAAUGCCAUUAAUUUGGUGUUGCGGGGAAUUUGGACUGUUACUUUAAAAAAUUAGAGUGUUUAAAGCAGGCUAACGCUUGAAUACAUUAGCAUGGAAUAAUGAAAUAGGACAUCCGAU
RNAcentral lists this ribosomal RNA (220 nucleotides) under uncultured fungus. RNAcentral describes it as "partial 18S ribosomal RNA". It matches the Rfam family "Eukaryotic small subunit ribosomal RNA", at positions 609 to 835 of the family's 1831-position model. The record is from RNAcentral. Lineage: Eukaryota; Fungi.